CAGUCGCCACGGGAAUACGAAGGGUGCUAGCGUUGUUCGGAAUUACUGGGCGUAAAGCGCACGUUGGCGGAUAUUUAAGUCAGGGGUGAAAUCCCAGAGCUCAACUCUGGAACUGCCUUUGAUACUGGGUAUCUUGAGUAUGGAAGAGGUGAGUGGAAUUCCGAGUGUAGAGGUGAAAUUCGUAGAUAUUCGGAGGAACACCAGUGGCGAAGGCGGCUCACUGGUCCAUUACUGACGCUGAGGUGCGAAAGCGUGGGGAGCAAACAGGAUUAGAUACCCGAGUAGUCCCUGUCUCUUAUAC
RNAcentral lists this ribosomal RNA (301 nucleotides) under uncultured bacterium. RNAcentral's name for it is "partial 16S ribosomal RNA". It matches the Rfam family "Bacterial small subunit ribosomal RNA", at positions 509 to 807 of the family's 1533-position model. The record is from RNAcentral.